This 397-nucleotide ribosomal RNA is filed under the name uncultured bacterium. Its description in RNAcentral is "partial 16S ribosomal RNA". It matches the Rfam family "Bacterial small subunit ribosomal RNA", at positions 523 to 918 of the family's 1533-position model. The record is from RNAcentral.
AUACGUAGGGGGCGAGCGUUGUCCGGAAUGAUUGGGCGUAAAGGGCGCGUAGGCGGCGCGGUAAGUCUGGAGUGAAAGUCCUGCUUUCAAGGUGGGAAUUGCUUUGGAUACUGCCGCGCUUGAGUGCAGGAGAGGUUAUCGGAAUUCCCGGUGUAGCGGUGAAAUGCGUAGAGAUCGGGAGGAACACCAGUGGCGAAGGCGGAUAACUGGACUGCAACUGACGCUGAGGCGCGAAAGUGUGGGGAGCAAACAGGAUUAGAUACCCUGGUAGUCCAAACUGUAAACGAUGAAUGCUAGGUGUAAGAGGUAUCGACCCCUUUUGUGCCGGAGUCAACACAAUAAGCAUUCAGCCUGGGGAGUACGGCCUCAAGGUUGAAACUCAAAUGAAUUGACGGGU